AUGCUCACUUUGGUAGCAUAUAUACUAAAAUAGGAACAAUUCAGAAAAGAUUAGCAUGGCCCCUGUGUAAGAAUGACAUGCAAAUUUGUGAAGCAUUCCAUAUUUAU
This 107-nucleotide small nuclear RNA is filed under the name Salvator merianae (Argentine black and white tegu). The record is from RNAcentral. Lineage: Eukaryota; Metazoa; Chordata; Lepidosauria; Squamata; Teiidae.